GACGAACGCUGGCGGCGUGCUUAACACAUGCAAGUCGACGCGAGACGUGUGUCUUCGGGGUGGUGUUCUAGCGGCGAACGGGUGAGUAACACGUGGGCAACCUGCCCUCAGCUCUGGGAUAACUCCAAGAAAUUGGGGCUAAUACCGGAUAUGACCGCUGACCGCAUGGUCUGGUGGUGGAAAGAUUCAUCGGCUGGGGAUGGGCCCGCGGCCUAUCAGCUUGUUGGUGGGGUAGUGGCCUACCAAGGCGACGACUGUGUAGCCGGCCUGAGAGGGUGACCGGUCACACUGGGACUGAGACACGGCCCAUACUCCUACGGGAGGCAGCAGUGGGGAAUAUUGCGCAAUGGGCGGAAGCCUGACGCAGCGACUCCGCGUGGGGGAUGACGGCCUUCGGGUUGUAAACCUCUUUCAGCAGGGACGAAGCGGAAGUGACGGUACCUGCAGAAGAAGCACCGGCCAACUACGUGCCAGCAGCCGCGGUAAUACGUAGGGUGCAAGCGUUGUCCGUAAUUAUUGGGCGUAAAGAGCUCGUAGGCGGUUUGUUGCGUCGGCUGUGAAAUCCCGAGGCUCAACCUCGGGUCUGCAGUCGAUACGAGCAAACUAGAGUGUUGCAGGGGAGACUGGAAUUCCUGGUCUACCGGUGAAAUGCGCAGAUAUCAGGAGGAACACCGGUGGCGAAGGCGGGUCUCUGGGCAACAACUGACGCUGAGGAGCGAAAGCGUGGGGAGCGAACAGGAUUAGAUACCCUGGUAGUCCACGCCGUAAACGUUGGGCGCUAGGUGUGGGGCUCAUUCCACGAGUUCACGUGCCGCAGCUAACGCAUUAAGCGCCCCGCCUGGGGAGUACGGCCGCAAGGCUGAAACUCAAAGGAAUUGACGGGGGCCCGCACAAGCGGCGGAGCAUGUUGCUUAAUUCGAUGCAACGCGAAGAACCUUACCUAGGCAUUGACAUGCACGGAAAUCUCGCAGAGAUGCGGGGUCCGUAAGGGCCGUGCACAGGUGGUGCAUGGUUGUCGUCAGCUCGUGUCGUGAGAUGUUGGGUUAAGUCCCGCAACGAGCGCAACCCUCGUUCUAUGUUGCCAGCACGUGAUGGUGGGGACUCAUAGGAGACUGCCGGGGUCAACUCGGAGGAAGAUGGGGAUGACGUCAAAUCAUCAUGCCCCCUAUGUCUAGGGCUGCAAACAUGUUACAAUGGCCGGUACAAAGGGCUGCGAUAACCGUAAGGUGGAGCGAAUCCCAAAAAGCCGCUCUCAGUUCGGAUUGGGGUCUGCAACUCGACCCCAUGAAGUUGGAGUCGCUAGUAAUCGCAGAUCAGCAACGCUGCGGUGAUACGUUCCCGGGCUUUGACACACCGCCCGUCACGUCACGAAGGUCGGUAUCGCCCGAAGCCGGUGACACCAACCCUUGUGGAGGGAGCUGUCGAAGGCGG
Molecule: ribosomal RNA, 1431 nt
Filed under: uncultured bacterium
Lineage: Bacteria
Description: 16S ribosomal RNA
Rfam family: Bacterial small subunit ribosomal RNA
Source: RNAcentral